UACGUAGGGGGCUAGCGUUGUCCGGACUCAUUGGGCGUAAAGAGCGUGUAGGCGGUCCGGUAAGUCCGCUGUGAAAGUCGGGGGCUCAACCCUCGAAUGCCGGUGGAUACUGUCGGGCUAGAGUGCGGAAGAGGCGAGUGGAAUUCCUGGUGUAGCGGUGAAAUGCGCAGAUAUCAGGAGGAACACCUAUUGCGAAGGCAGCUCGCUGGGACGUAACUGACGCUGAGACGCGAAAGCGUGGGGAGCAAACAGG
Molecule: ribosomal RNA, 253 nt
Filed under: uncultured bacterium
Lineage: Bacteria
Description: partial 16S ribosomal RNA
Rfam family: Bacterial small subunit ribosomal RNA
Source: RNAcentral